This is a long non-coding RNA of Daktulosphaira vitifoliae (grape phylloxera), 1950 nucleotides long. RefSeq lists it as uncharacterized. The record is from RefSeq and is a predicted model, not a curated record. NCBI's taxonomy places the organism in Eukaryota, Metazoa, Arthropoda, Insecta, Hemiptera, Phylloxeridae. The transcript is spliced from 2 exons.
UUUUGUAUUUUAAUGUACGUUAGUAAAUUAAAAUAAGAAAAAAAUAGGAAUUAGUCCGGGAUUUUUUGAUUUACUACAAUUGAAGAAUAAGUUAAAUAAUAUACAGUGAUCGAUCGGAUUACCAUAAACCACUCAAUUACUCACAAAAUAAAUACAAUAAUGGGAAAAUAAUUUUUGAUUUCUUUCAGUUAAAUAUAAUUCAUGAUUUAUCAGCUUAUAAUUAAUUUUUAGGAACAUCCCUUAUAUCUUGGAGGGAUGUCAACUUAAUUUUUUGAAGUAGUAACAUACAUAUUUAACUAGCUUAUAAAAUAGAAAAUAAUCUAUUUAAAAAAAUUAUUUGCACUUUUGAUCCAAUACUUCAGUAUUUAUUAACAAUUUGAAGUAUUGACUGGUGGUGAGGAAUGGGUGAUGUUAUUUUUAUCACUUCGUCCCGUUCACUUAUAAAAAUGGAAAUAAUAUGCAAUGUACUAGUCCAAAAGCUGUUAUGCACCAGUAAUUUUCUUAAUUAGAUAAUUUCCUAUAAGCUAGUUAAAUUUUAUAAUAUCAAUUUAAAAAAAGUUGACUCUCCUAUAAAUUAUAAGGGAUGAUCCUAAAAAUUAAUUAAUAGCUAAUAAAUUAAGAAUUUUAUGUAACUACAAGAAAUCAAAAAUCAUAUAUUUUAUUUAUUUUGCGAGUAAUCUAGUGGCUUAUGAUAAACCGAUCAUUCUGUAUACUAUCCAUUCUAUCGGGAUUUAUGGUUUGACGUUUUGGAGUAGAGAAAUAGAGAUUAAAAUAGGGUAGAUAUUUAAUACAUAUUAACCUUUAAUAUAGCAGUGAAUAUUAUUAUUUCACUUAUCGUUUUACUUGAAAUAAAUAAGUAAUAUAAGUACCAUAACACGGUCGGGUAUAGAAAGAGUACCGGAAAUCAUAAGAAAAAAAGAGGCACGGUACGGGAUUAGAACCCGCGACCCAAGGCGUCGUAUAGACAAACCUUACCACUAGGCCACCGUGCACUUAUAAUUCAGCUUCCGAUACACUUGCAUUUAGGUUGAUAACGUGAUGUGCGGCUGAGGGAAACACGGUACCGUGUCAACCAUUAGGAAAAUUAAAUAAAUUUUAACACUGACGCGUAUCCAAUUUGGUACAGUAGGAAGUGUACAAACGCACACUAAGAAUUAAUGAACCAAACUUACAAAAAAAAAAACUAAUAGAAAAUAAAUGUAGUCAAGACAAGUUUUUUUUAAGUAAACACGGCCGCAGUGGCCAGUUUAUAAUUAUUUAACAGCUAACAUGUAGUGUUCAAAAGUUAUGUGUGUAGCCCGGUCAAGCUCCACGUAGCUUGAAAUCGCAUUACCCCUCUCAUUGUAAUGAUAACCAUCGUGUCCGGCACUACCAGCAUCUUGCUGUCAUUACGUUUGUGUCCGCGGUUGACGUUAUAUCGAACCGUUGAGUCCAAUGACUCGUAGCCAGUGAGCUGGCAUAGUUUUCUUUUAUUGGGUUUGUGUCGGCCUGUAUAAGCCGUGUGGUUAUUGAAGACUCAGUCCAUAUUUGGAGUUGGUGUUCUUAGUGUACUCACACCGGUGAUGUUUCCUUUUCUGUGGUUCGUCGAGUUAGUGCGUCUUAUCACUAUAAAGCUAAUCGUGACACUAAGGAUUGUUGGCGUCGGCCAAGAGGUAUUGUUGUGGAAAUCUCAAGCAUUGCGAUAUCACGCGGCUGAAGAAGUGUCAAGUGGCUGGGUGAUGUAACUCCAUUUUUUUAUUACUUAAUGUUCUUAAUGUUAACGUUAGUAAUAUUCCCUCAUAAUGAUGACANAGAAUAUGAAGAUGAAUUAAAUAGUCAAUUAAAUGAUUCAUUUUCAGACAUGAAUUUAUCAAUGGCAUAAUUAUUUUUUAAAUGUAUAAAACUAAAAUAUUCAUAUUUAUAUAUCAAUGUAAUCGUAUAACAAUUAAUAAUAAAUAAUGACUAAUUUUA